Molecule: ribosomal RNA, 515 nt
Filed under: uncultured bacterium
Lineage: Bacteria
Description: bacterial SSU rRNA
Rfam family: Bacterial small subunit ribosomal RNA
Source: RNAcentral
GAUCCUGGCUCAGGAUGAACGCUAGCUACAGGCUUAACACAUGCAAGUCGAGGGGCAGCAUAACGAAAGCUGUCUUUGUUGAGUGGCGACCGGCGCACGGGUGAGUAACGCGUAUCCAACCUUCCCUAUACUAGAGAAUAGCCCGGCGAAAGUCGGAUUAAUGCUCUAUGUUCUUCUUUGAUGGCAUCUGACGAGAAGCAAAGGUUUACCGGUAUAGGAUGGGGAUGCGUCUGAUUAGGUUGUUGGCGGGGUAACGGCCCACCAAGCCUACGAUCAGUAGGGGUUCUGAGAGGAAGGUCCCCCACAUUGGUACUGAGACACGGACCAAACUCCUACGGGAGGCAGCAGUGAGGAAUAUUGGUCAAUGGGCGAGAGCCUGAACCAGCCAAGUAGCGUGCAAGGAUGACUGCCCUAUGGGUUGUAAACUGCUUUUAUGCGGGAAUAAAGUCAGGUACGUGUACCUGUUUGUAUGUACCGCAUGAAUAAGGACCGGCUAAUUCCGUGCCAGCAGCGGC